RNAcentral lists this long non-coding RNA (399 nucleotides) under Vulpes vulpes (red fox). RNAcentral describes it as "lncRNA (ENSVVUG00000005700.1)". The record is from RNAcentral. Lineage: Eukaryota; Metazoa; Chordata; Mammalia; Carnivora; Canidae.
CCACUGCAGAUUCUGAGCCCAGGGAAUCGGGGCUGGAGAAAUCCCACAUCGGCAGCUGUCAGCAGGACUGAUUGGAGAAGUGCUGCUUUUUCUCAUGAAACACACUAUAAACAAAAAAGAGAUUCAAAUGAGCAUUUAGGACAAGUGCCAGAAAAGAUUCUGGAUCCCAUCCAGAGUGCCUCCAAAAGACUAGCUAAUUCCGGGCAGGAGGAAAAGGGAGAAAGAAGGACGGUGUUUCAAACAGGAAACAAAGGGUGGACAAGAGGGAUGAGAAGUCCAAAGGAGGAAGGAGACAGAGAACCUCUAUCACAGGUGAGACAAAAGUGAAGAAGGGCCUUUGUAGCUGGGCUAUCGUCCAGCAUGGAACAUCCUCCAUUCUCCCAUGAGGCCCCUCUCCUG